GUCGUAACAAGGUUUCCCGUAGGUGAACCUGCGGAAGGAUCAUUACUUCCAUCAAUUUUAUUCACACCCGAGCAUUCAUGUUUUAUGGUUUUAUAUGUGGAGACUUUGUUUGGUGCGCACGCACUCGCCCAUGGGUUUCUCUUCUGGGGACCUGUGUGUGUGGGGUGUGUACGUACCUCUCUCUCUCUCAUAUAUUUUUCCUUUUUUCUUUACAAACACCUUUGUUGUGUGCUGAAUGCAACAUCCAUACCAAACUUUCCUUUCACUUUCUGAGGUGCCUUUUUUGACUGGAGCUUUCUCUUUGAAACUUCAGCAAGAAAAACCAACGAUAGACAACUUUCAACAGUGGAUAUCUUGGCUCUCGCAUCGAUGAAGAACGCAGCGAAAUGCGAUACGUAGUGUGAAUUGCAGAAUUCCGUGAAUCAUCGAAUCUUUGAACGCAUAUUGCGCCGAAGCUUUUGCAACGGCAUGCCUGCCUGAGCGUCAGUGACUUCUUUCACACCUUUCUCUUUCACUUUUUCUUCUUCUUCUUCUUCUGAAGAAAGAGGAAAUGGCGGAAGGACGAGAGGUGCGGUGUUGGCCUUCUUCGAUUCUUGGAGCCGAAGUCUGCUGAAGACGAGUGAUGGGACCGCGGCUCCGCAUUCGACGGUUGCGCCAAACGUGGUAGGCUGUUCUUUCUCUUUCAUGAGGAAGCUCGCACGAUCGUUUCCGGCGCUUCUCGUGUUUAGGAGCUGCACUUUGUAUGGUUUCAUUUUUCAGCGCGUGCAGUUGAGAUCUUUUUUUUCUCUCUCUUGUCGCGCACCCCCCCAACCUUUGACCUCAGUGAGGUAAGAGUACCCACCGAAUUUAAGCAUAUUACUAAGUGGAGGAAAAGAAACUAACCAGGAUUCCCUCAGUAACGGCGAGCGAAGCGGGAAGAGCCCAUCUUGAAAAUCCUUUUUGGAAUUGUAGUCUAGAGAACCGACCUCUGCGGAACAGCCGCCUCAAGUGCUCUGGAAGGGGCCGUCAGAGAGGGUGAGAGCCCCGUCGGGCGCGCUUUGUUCUCGCUCCACGAGUCGUGUUCGUCGAGUCGGGCUGUUUGGGAUUGCAGUCUGAAGUGGGAGGUAAAUUCCUUCUAAGGCUAAAUACUGGCGAGAGACCGAUAGCGAAAAAGUACCGUGAGGGAAAGAUGAAAAGAACUUUGAAAAGAGAGUUAAAAAGUGCUUGAAACUGUUGACUGGGAAGCUGUUGGUGCCACGGGUGCGUCCCUGAGCCUCUGGCCGUGGGUCGCUGGUCAGCGUGGAUUGCGUGGGCGGUACAAGUGCGAUUGCUGAUGUCGUUUAUGCCGCCUUCGCGAUCGAGGACCGACGCUGGCGGAAUGGUACCAACCGGCCCGUCUAGAAACACGGACCAAGGAGUCUAACUUGUAUGCGAGUCCGCGAGUGGAAAGCUCGUCGGCGCAAGGAACCUGAUACUGAUGUCCAGCAUCGGCCAACCUUGAUCUUUUGUGAACGGUUUGAGUCUGAGCAUACAGGGUAGGACCCGAAAGAUGGUGAACUAUGCGUGA
RNAcentral lists this ribosomal RNA (1546 nucleotides) under Mantoniella squamata. RNAcentral's name for it is "eukaryotic LSU rRNA". The stretch from base 815 to 1546 matches the Rfam family "Eukaryotic large subunit ribosomal RNA", at positions 1 to 840 of the family's 3401-position model. Lineage: Eukaryota; Viridiplantae; Chlorophyta; Mamiellophyceae; Mamiellales; Mamiellaceae. The record is from RNAcentral.